UAGGGAAUCUUCGGCAAUGGGGGGAACCCUGACCGAGCAACGCCGCGUGAGUGAAGAAGGUUUUCGGAUCGUAAAGCUCUGUUGUUAAGGAAGAACGAGUGUGAGAAUGGAAAGUUCAUACUGUGACGGUACUUAACCAGAAAGGGACGGCUAACUACGUGCCAGCAGCCGCGGUAAUACGUAGGUCCCGAGCGUGGUCCGGAUUUAUUGGGCGUAAAGCGAGCGCAGGCGGUUAGAUAAGUCUGAAGUUAAAGGCAGUGGCUCAACCAUUGUAGGCUUUGGAAACUGUUUAACUUGAGUGCAGAAGGGGAGAGUGGAAUUCCAUGUGUAGCGGUGAAAUGCGUAGAUAUAUGGAGGAACACCGGUGGCGAAAGCGGCUCUCUGGUCUGUAACUGACGCUGAGGCUCGAAAGCGUGGGGAGCGAACAGG
Molecule: ribosomal RNA, 429 nt
Filed under: Bacteroidota bacterium
Lineage: Bacteria; Pseudomonadati; Bacteroidota
Description: Bacteroidetes bacterium partial 16S ribosomal RNA
Rfam family: Bacterial small subunit ribosomal RNA
Source: RNAcentral